AAGUCGUAACAAGGUUUCCGUAGGUGAACCUGCGGAAGGAUCAUUAAUAAACCUCAGGCGCUUGCGCCCACAGGUAACCCUUGAAUAAACUACCUUCGUUGCUUUGGCGGGCCGCCUCCCAGGCCAGCGGCUUCGGCUGCUGUGCGCCCGCCAGAGGACCACAACUCUUGUUUUUAGUGAUGUCUGAGUACUAUAUAAUAGUUAAAA
RNAcentral lists this unclassified non-coding RNA (207 nucleotides) under plant metagenome. RNAcentral's name for it is "partial contains small subunit ribosomal RNA and internal transcribed spacer 1". The stretch from base 1 to 46 matches the Rfam family "Eukaryotic small subunit ribosomal RNA", at positions 1786 to 1831 of the family's 1831-position model. The record is from RNAcentral.